GUUCUUGUAGUAAAAUAAUUACAAUGGUUCUUCAAGUCAUUGAUCUCAGUUAAAGUCUGAGUAAGAAUU
Molecule: transfer RNA, 69 nt
Filed under: Rasboroides vaterifloris (pearly rasbora)
Lineage: Eukaryota; Metazoa; Chordata; Actinopteri; Cypriniformes; Danionidae
Description: tRNA-Glu
Source: RNAcentral